Molecule: ribosomal RNA, 441 nt
Filed under: uncultured bacterium
Lineage: Bacteria
Description: partial 16S ribosomal RNA
Rfam family: Bacterial small subunit ribosomal RNA
Source: RNAcentral
GCUACGGGAGGCAGCAGUGGGGGAUAUUGCACAAUGGGGGGAACCCUGAUGCAGCGACGCCGCGUGGGUGAAGGAGUGCUUCGGCAUGUAAAGCCCUAUCGGCAGGGAAGAAGCAAGACGGUACCUGACUAAGAAGCCCCGGCUAACUACGUGCCAGCAGCCGCGGUAGUACGUAGGGGGCGAGCGUUAUCCGGAUUCCAUGGGUGUAAAGGGGUCGUAGACGGACAGUCAAGCCAGGGGUGAAAGCCCGGGGCCCAACCCCGGGACUGCCCUAGGAACUGGAUGGCUGGAGUGCGGGAGGGGCAGGCGGAAUGCCGGGUGUAGCGGGGAAAUGCGUAGAUAUCAGGAGGAAGACCGGCGGCGAAGGCGGCCUGCUGGACCGCGACUGACGUGGAGGCUCGAAAGCGUGGGGAGCGAACAGGAUUAGAUACCCGAGUAGUC